RNAcentral lists this ribosomal RNA (194 nucleotides) under Salmonella enterica subsp. enterica serovar Corvallis. RNAcentral's name for it is "partial 16S ribosomal RNA". It matches the Rfam family "Bacterial small subunit ribosomal RNA", at positions 1 to 188 of the family's 1533-position model. Lineage: Bacteria; Pseudomonadati; Pseudomonadota; Gammaproteobacteria; Enterobacterales; Enterobacteriaceae. The record is from RNAcentral.
AAAUUGAAGAGUUUGAUCAUGGCUCAGAUUGAACGCUGGCGGCAGGCUUAACACAUGCAAGUCGAACGGUAACAGGAAGCAGCUUGCUGCUUUGCUGACGAGUGGCGGACGGGUGAGUAAUGUCUGGGAAACUGCCUGAUGGAGGGGGAUAACUACUGGAAACGGUGGCUAAUACCGCAUAACGUCGCAAGACC